GCAGACGUAGCUCAGUCGGUUAGAGCGCCACGUAGAGUGGAUGCCGUUGGUUCGAGCCCAACCGUCUGCA
This 70-nucleotide transfer RNA is filed under the name Caudoviricetes sp. RNAcentral describes it as "tRNA-Leu". It matches the Rfam family "tRNA". Rfam says of the family: Transfer RNA (tRNA) molecules are approximately 80 nucleotides in length. Their secondary structure includes four short double-helical elements and three loops (D, anti-codon, and T loops). The record is from RNAcentral. Lineage: Duplodnaviria; Heunggongvirae; Uroviricota; Caudoviricetes.